RNAcentral lists this ribosomal RNA (203 nucleotides) under Haemaphysalis longicornis (longhorned tick). RNAcentral describes it as "partial 16S ribosomal RNA". The stretch from base 1 to 109 matches the Rfam family "Archaeal large subunit ribosomal RNA", at positions 2604 to 2712 of the family's 2987-position model. Lineage: Eukaryota; Metazoa; Arthropoda; Arachnida; Ixodida; Ixodidae. The record is from RNAcentral.
GAUUAGGAUACUUGUUUUAAUGNAGAAGUUAAAUAAAGAAGUUUGUUCAACUUUUAAAUUCCUACAUGAUCUGAGUUUAGACCGAUGUGAAUCAGGUUGGUUUCUAUCUUAAUUAUAAUUAUAAAUUUUUAAUUAGUACGAAAGGAAUUUUAAAAAAAUAUUUUAUUUCUGAUUUAACAGUUUUUGCAUCAAUUUUUGGAAUU